This 87-nucleotide transfer RNA is filed under the name Seonamhaeicola sp. S2-3. RNAcentral's name for it is "tRNA-Leu". It matches the Rfam family "tRNA". From Rfam's summary of the family: Transfer RNA (tRNA) molecules are approximately 80 nucleotides in length. The record is from RNAcentral. Lineage: Bacteria; Pseudomonadati; Bacteroidota; Flavobacteriia; Flavobacteriales; Flavobacteriaceae.
GCACACGUGGCGGAAUUGGUAGACGCGCUGCCUUGAGGGGGCAGUGUUCUUAAGGACGUGGAGGUUCGAAUCCUCUCGUGUGCACAA